RNAcentral lists this ribosomal RNA (482 nucleotides) under uncultured bacterium. RNAcentral's name for it is "partial 16S ribosomal RNA". It matches the Rfam family "Bacterial small subunit ribosomal RNA", at positions 28 to 523 of the family's 1533-position model. The record is from RNAcentral.
GACGAACGCUGGAGGCGUGCUUAACACAUGCAACUCAAACGAUGAAAUGGAGCUUGCUCCAUGGAUUACUGGCGAACGGGUGAGUAACACGUGAAUAACCUGCCCUUAAUUUUGGAAUAACCCAGGGAAACCUGGGCUAAUAACGGAUAAGUAAACCUGUGGCAUCACAUGGUUUUGGAAAGUUUUCCGAUUAAGGAUGGAUUCGCGGCCUAUCAGCUUGUUGGUGAGGUAAUUGCCCACCAAGGCGACGACGGGUAGUCGGCCUGCGGGGGUGAACGGCCACACGGGGACGGAGACGCGGUCCAGACUCCUUCGUGAGGCAGCAGUGGUGAAUAUUGCGCAAUGGACGAAAGUCUGGCGCAGCGACGCAUCGUGAGGGACGAAGGUCUUCGGAUUGUAAACCUCUUUCAGCAGGGACGAAGCGAAAGUGACGGUACCUGCAGAAGAAGCACCGGCUAACGAUGUGCCAGCCGCCGCCGUAA